AAAACCUGAUGUGGCAUAUCUCUUUCUUCAAGGAUUACAUUUAUCUUUUUCCUCGUAUUCUUAAUAUUUUUCACAUUUUUUCCAUUUAUGCGUAUAUUAAGAACCCCAAAAGUCAUAUUUUGCAAUCACUGAAAAGUCACGUCUUUAGAAUUACAGUCAUUCCCUUCAUCUUCUUUCUCACAUUCGUUGCUUCUUGAUCUCUGUCGCCUUCUUCCUCUCCUUUUCUUCUCGUCGGUCCCUUCGACUGCUUCUCCACCGUGGAAUGCUUGGCUGCUCGUGCUUUUCACCGCCAUUACAGAGAGAAAAGGAUUCGGAAAGCAAAGUAGCAAAUUCAGAAUGGGUUCAUGGCCAUUCCGAAUCCAUUAGUCUAAUUGCUCAUUAUCUGCAGGUAUAUAGUAGUGAGCAUAAAAACAAGUGGGAUCGAAAUCCCUUGUAACGGUAAGGCCUUAUUAACUUGGCUAAUCGUUUCUAUCUUUAAACCCUAUUUCCAUUCUCUAUUUAUUUACUUUGUUGGAUUCUAUCUACAUUAAUCAUAAGCGAAGUCUUGAUUUCUGACUCAAAAGUUAAUAAAGUUAUUUUCCGAUAGAACUUAUUUGAAGAUAUGAUCUUUCAAGAUUCAAGCACAGGUAUGAGAUUGUGGCUUCUGUGUAAGCCUACUUUUGGAUGAGAAUAGAAGCAGAGUGAAAGCAAUUUCUUGAUAAAAAAUUAAUCUGAUUAAGAUUAUGGUGCAUACCGGAAGAAGGCUAGAUUUUGAGUCCAAGAUGGACAUGAGUAUGACUAUUAAGGUUUAAUACAUGAGCAAAUCAAUAAAGCCAGAGUGAAAUUACUGCGGAAAUCUAAGAGUAAUUAUACAGUACUUUCUUGCAUUUCACUGUUAAUACUCUCUUUACUUUCUGGUUCUUUUAUUUAUUCUCUCCUUGGGAAAUUUUUGAAGUAUUACAAAAUCUAUCACAUAGCUUUUGAAGAGAUAAAGCAGAUUUUCUGUAUCAUGGUGGUGAAGACCAUCAGCUUUCUGACUUGAUGAAUGUUUCCUUAAACUUUGGAAGGUUAGUAUCAUACAUUAUAAAAAUAUGGCAUUUUCUCCUGAUUUACCAAGACAAGAUCUCAUCUUUUUCCACUCAUUGUUUGGUUCUUUUUCCCUUUCUUAUAGGAAUAGCUUUAUUUAUUUAGUGUGCUAAUAAAUAAAAUCAAUGAAUAGUUGUAAGAUGACGAUGUAGAGUAGAAGAGUUAUCAAAAAGUUAGCAACCAUUAGAUUCUACGUACCAUCUUUUGCCUGCAAUGAAAUUUCAGAGAAUGCUCUUGAACGUAUGUAUAUUCUUGGUUUUAAGCUUAAAUUCUUUUUCUUUGGAUUUAAUUGUUUAAGCAUCUAUAGUUUUUUUUUUCCCUAAUAGGUUUAUUUUGUUCUUCUUUUCGGAUUGCCUAGGUCCUCUAUCUGAAAUAGCAGAAAAAAUUGAUGCUUGCUGACGUUGCCUCAAUUUGGUCGUAGAUUUACAAUUUAUUCUAUACUUUCACUGAUGAUUGUGUUUGGAAAAUGCAUGGUGACCAAUGAAAAUAGUGCUAGAAAAUUUAAUGCUCUUGGGCUCCAGAAAUCACACCAUAUAUUAGUGAAGCAUAAUUCUAUGUCAGUAUGUUCUCUCAUCCACACUUAUAUACUGAUUAAAUUGCAGGCUUACUUUCUAUAGUACUAUCUUGGUGUUCCUAAAGAAAAUUAUUGUAUAAUUAUAAACAUCUAUUUGUUAGUAAUAAUAGAAAAAAGUGGGAGGACUCUCCGUCAUCAGAGUCCCAUUUCCCACCAAUAUCCUUUGAGGAGAACGUGUCAGAAAUAUGUUAAAUGUUGUCUAAUUUUUGCUGAUAAAUAGUACUAUAUGUUAUUUUUUGAGUCAUACUUUAUCCUUUAGUUUAUCAUUUCCGUUAAAUAUUCAGGGAUAUAACAUUUAAUUAUUAGAUUUUGAUUAAUUUUGAUCUGGAGUUUCGAUGUACUAUUAUGUGAUUCUUUGCUAUUGGAUCCUUCUAUACCUGACAAGUUUUACUGAUUUCUUCCUUUUUUUAAAGAAAAGAAAAGAAAAGAAAAGAAAAUGAGAGCAUUACAAUCUCAACAUCCUAGGUACUAUUCUCAUUAAUCUUUUCCCUUUAAUCAAUUAUUCCUUAAUUUUUUAUUUUUGUAUCAAUUUUUAAAGUUAAAGCUAUAAUUUGAAUGAAAUCUUUCUUUAGUUUGUAUGAUCCAUAUAUAUUUUUUAUUUAUUUUGCAUAAUCAUUGUCAAUCUCUUUGACGAAUAAACAUAUUUAUCUCUUUUUUUUCUUUUCCUAUUUUCCCUUUUACCUAUUUUUUUUAUGUGUUAAGAAGUCCAAAAGUUGCCUCAUUGAUCCCCUAAAUCAUUACACCUUAAAUGACUUUGACAGUUUUUAUAUGGACUUUCAUUUUUCCUUUUUUUGAAGUAGCCUUUUGAGCUUUCUUUGCCAACAUUGUUGCCUCUCACUUUUGUUAAAGACACUUUAUUAAUAAUAUGUUGUAUUUACAAAUGUAUUGCUUCAAAUCAGGCAGUUCUGCUCUUCAAGCUGAAAAUACAAAGAUCAACGGUCACAAAUUUCACAGCCACAAGAAAGAAAGUCAGGGUCUAUUCCAUAAAUCCAUAUAGGCGAUGCUGGAGAAACUCUAAGGUUUAUAAAAUAGUCAGUGCUUUUUGUAGCAGAAAUGGUUAACGUGUAUGCAAAUAUAUGGGGACUUUAUGUAAUAUAUUUGUCAUGGUGGUGAAUUUUGCUACUCCCUCUGGCAUGUUAUGAAUAUUUAACUUGUAUGCAAAUGCAAUAAUAGAUGUUUUUUUAUUAUUAUUAUGAGUUUUGAGUUGUGCCUAUUUAGUAGUACUAUUAAUUUUCCUCUGGCCUGGC
This 2886-nucleotide long non-coding RNA is filed under the name Nicotiana tabacum (common tobacco). Its description in RNAcentral is "long non-coding RNA (NTAB_LNC004030)". Lineage: Eukaryota; Viridiplantae; Streptophyta; Magnoliopsida; Solanales; Solanaceae. The record is from RNAcentral.